This 468-nucleotide ribosomal RNA is filed under the name uncultured bacterium. Its description in RNAcentral is "partial 16S ribosomal RNA". It matches the Rfam family "Bacterial small subunit ribosomal RNA", at positions 28 to 507 of the family's 1533-position model. The record is from RNAcentral.
GACGAACGCUGGCGGCGUGCUUAACACAUGCAAGUCGAACGGAAAGGCCCUGCUUUUGUGGGGUGCUCGAGGGGCGAACGGGUGAGUAACACGUGAGUAACCUGCCCUUGACUUUGGGAUAACUUCAGGAAACUGGGGCUAAUACCGGAUAGGAGCUCCUGCUGCAGGGUGGGGGUUGGAAAGUUUCGGCGGUUGGGGAUGGACUCGCGGCUUAUCAGCUUGUUGGUGGGGUAGUGGCUUACCAAGGCUUUGACGGGUAGCCGGCCUGAGAGGGUGACCGGCCACAUUGGGACUGAGAUACGGCCCAGACUCCUACGGGAGGCAGCAGUGGGGAAUAUUGCACAAUGGGCGGAAGCCUGAUGCAGCAACGCCGCGUGCGGGAUGACGGCCUUCGGGUUGUAAACCGCUUUCGCCUGUGACGAAGCGUGAGUGACGGUAAUGGGUAAAGAAGCACCGGCUAACUACGUG